This 439-nucleotide ribosomal RNA is filed under the name uncultured bacterium. RNAcentral's name for it is "partial 16S ribosomal RNA". It matches the Rfam family "Bacterial small subunit ribosomal RNA", at positions 339 to 795 of the family's 1533-position model. The record is from RNAcentral.
CUACGGGACGCUGCAGUGGGGAAUCUUGGACAAUGGGCGCAAGCCUGAUCCAGCCAUGCCGCGUGAGUGAAGAAGGUCUUCGGAUUGUAAAGCUCUUUUGCCAGGGACGAUAAUGACGGUACCUGGAGAAUAAGCCCCGGCAAACUUCGUGCCAGCAGCCGCGGUAAUACGAAGGGGGCUAGCGUUGUUCGGAAUUACUGGGCGUAAAGCGCACGUAGGCGGGUGGUUAAGUCAGGGGUGAAAUCCCGGAGCUCAACUCCGGAACUGCCUUUGAUACUGGCCAUCUAGAGAUCGGAAGAGGUGAGUGGAAUUCCCAGUGUAGAGGUGAAAUUCGUAGAUAUUGGGAAGAACACCAGUGGCGAAGGCGGCUCACUGGUCCGAUACUGACGCUGAGGUGCGAAAGCGUGGGGAGCAAACAGGAUUAGAUACCCCCGUAGUC